RNAcentral lists this long non-coding RNA (310 nucleotides) under Elaeis guineensis (African oil palm). RNAcentral's name for it is "long non-coding RNA (EGUI_LNC052659)". The record is from RNAcentral. Lineage: Eukaryota; Viridiplantae; Streptophyta; Magnoliopsida; Arecales; Arecaceae.
GAUCAUUUCUUCCUUACCGAUUAGGUCAUCUCAUAACCUAACCAGACUUGACUUGAUUGAAUCAAAUUCAAUCAGAUUUCUUCUAGACUUUAAUGCUCAAUCAAAUUAAGCUAAUUAGUGAUCUAAUAACUAAUUAAUCUUUCAUUAAUGAUAGAGUCCAAAUCUAGUGGGACUCUUUUCUAGAGUUCCCGUCCAGUGGGACUCUUCAGCAGAGUCCUCGUCUAGUUGGACUCUUCACCAGAGUCUCCGUUGAUUGGGAUUCUUCAGAUUAGCCAUGUGAUCGGAGAGAAACUUCUAAUGUGUGUGACCC